GACGAACGCUGGCGGCGUGCUUAACACAUGCAAGUCGAACGGUGAAGGGACUGGUUUUGCUGGUCCUGGAUGAGUGGCGAACGGGUGAGUAACACGUGAGUAACCUGCCCCCUUCUUCUGGAUAACCGCAUGAAAGUGUGGCUAAUACGGGAUAUUCUGGGUCUGUCGCAUGGUGGGCCUGGGAAAGAUUGCGCCUUUUUUGGUGUUUUUGGUGGGGGAUGGGCUCGCGGCCUAUCAGCUUGUUGGUGGGGUGAUGGCCUACCAAGGCGGUGACGGGUAGCCGGCCUGAGAGGGUGGACGGUCACACUGGGACUGAGACAUGGCCCAGACUCCUACGGGAGGCAGCAGUGGGGAAUAUUGCACAAUGGGCGCAAGCCUGAUGCAGCGACGCCGCGUGAGGGAUGGAGGCCUUCGGGUUGUGAACCUCUUUCGCCAGUGAAGCAGGCCUGCCUCUUUUUGUGGGUGGGUUGACGGUAGCUGGAUAAGAAGCGCCGGCUAACUACGUG
Molecule: ribosomal RNA, 506 nt
Filed under: uncultured bacterium
Lineage: Bacteria
Description: partial 16S ribosomal RNA
Rfam family: Bacterial small subunit ribosomal RNA
Source: RNAcentral